Non-coding RNA from Linepithema humile (Argentine ant), 2094 nucleotides. Lineage: Eukaryota; Metazoa; Arthropoda; Insecta; Hymenoptera; Formicidae. The record is from RefSeq and is a predicted model, not a curated record.
UUUCCAAAAAAUCCUACAACUCGAGCAAUGUGGUUAGAAAGUUUGGGAAUAAAUUUAUCAUCUAUCCCAAAUACAGCUCGCAUUUGCUCUGCUCAUUUUGAUGAAAAAUUCUUUGAUAAGACAUGUUCGAUAACUCAACUUAAGCCAAAUGCAUUGCCGAAUAGAACACUUGCAAUACAACAACUUUCUUCGAAUUCUACUGUAGUAGAACAAUCUACACAUGAUAAAAAUCAAAUUUCUUCUUCAAAUUUUGUGGCAAAAUCUAAUAUUGAAAAUUCUGCCAGUAUUACAAACGAUAAUAUACAUGAUACAACAGAUCAUUUGUUAGAACCAAUAGUUCCAACAGAAUCAAUCAAUGAAUUACCAAAUAUAUUUCCAUCACAAUCUUUAAUAUCUAAAAUAGAUAAAGCGACAAUGGUAUCACCAAAACGCAUCUAUAAUUCUCCAGAAAAAUCCAGAUUACGAAGAAGAAUAAGAUUUUGGAAGCAGAACAUGCGAAGAAAAUGAGAAAUGUGCGCCAAAAAAUAUGCCGAUACAGCGAUCAAGUGGUCACACUCAAAGGCAUUUUAAACAAAUUAAAAAAUAAUGAACUGUUAAAUGAAACACAAGCCGAAAUGAUACAUCUGCUAGGUGGAUCAACCGACGUCAUUUCCACAUCCUGCAACAAAUGAAAAAGUAGCAGCUUUUUUUGAUCCCAGCCACAUGCUAAAAUUGGUACGAAAUACCUUUGGAGACAUCAAAACUUUUAUUGAUGGAAAUAAUCAACUAAUCAAAUGGUCUUACUUAAAUAAUCUUCAUGAAUUACAAGAAUGCGAAAAUAUGCAUUUAGGGAACAAAUUACGAAGUGCACACAUUAAUUAUAAUAAACAAAAAAUAGAAAGUCCGUUUAGCGGCUCAGAUUUUUAGUAAUUCGGUAGCAGAUUCGCUUUUCUUUUGUGAGAAGAAUUUAAUGUUAAAAAAAUUUGAAGGUUGCGAGGGAAUAAUAUCAAAUUUUUAUUAACUUUUAAUGAUCUCUUCGACAUAUUAAAUUCAAGAAACAUGAAACAGUUUGGAUUAAAACAAGCAUUAUGUUCUCAAAAUAUAGAAUUAAUAACAAAUAAAUUUAACGAAUUUAAAAUGUACAUAUUAUCAUUAAAAAAAGAAAAUGGUGAGUUAUUAUGUCACUCUCGUCGAAAAACUGGGUUUUUAGGCUUUCUCAUUUGUAUAGAAAGUGCAUUAUUAUUAUUUAAAGAACUGUGUACAGAGAAAAAUUAUUUAAAAUACAUUUCGUUUUAUAAAUUUAGUCAAGAUCAUAUAGAAUUAUUAUUUGGAUGUUUUCGACAUCAUGGCGGAGGAAAUAAUAAUCCUACCGUCAGACAAUUCAAAGCCGCUAUGAAAAAAAUUCUUGUUCACGCAGAUUUACGUAACUCAGAAACUGGAAAUUGUAUUUCUUUAGAAGAAAUAUCAAUUUUACACGUAACAUCUGCUGGCAAAAUAAAAAAUUCCGAAGACAUUAUAAAUUCCACGUCACGGCUGUCACGAUUACAUAAUGAUAAUGAAUCGGAUGAAAACAAUAAUUAUGAUGAAGAUUUUAAUUUAAUUAAUGAUCACAACUAUAUUUCGGAUGUCCGGGAAAUCUCGGAAUUUUCUAGUAAUGUCGUCGAAUAUAUUGCCGGCUAUGUCGUAAUGCAAUUAAAAAAAAAGUUAAUUUGCGAUAUUUGUAUUAGUGCAUUAAUAAAUAACGAUAGAAAGAAUAAUUUAAUAAGUGUAAAAAGUCGCGGGGGAUUAAUACAACCCUCAGAGGUAUGUUAUUACUAUUUGUCGUAAAUGUGAGACGGAAAUUCGGUGUGCCAUUCAUGCAAGCAAAACAUUUACAUGUAUAAAACGAAAAUAUAAUGAGUCCUAUAUAUCGAACCAAGUUUUGAAGCAAUUUAUUAAUGUCACUUUAUUUAAAGAUUUAAAUAAGCAUGCAUACGACCAAUCAUUAAUGGAAAAUCACGUUGUCCACUUAAUCCGAGCUAUUGUCAACAAAUAUGUUAAAAUUAGAUUAUACUAUAUAGCGUUGAAUACUAUAGAUAAGUCAAAUAGUCAACGUCAGUUAUUUAAUAAACUUAU